GAAAUGCGAUACUUGGUGUGAAUUGCAGAAUCCCGUGAACCAUCGAGUCUUUGAACGCAAGUUGCGCCCCAAGCCUCUAGGCCGAGGGCACGUCUGCCUGGGUGUCACGCAUCGUCGCCCCCUCAACCCCACGCCUCGAGCGAGGCGCGGGGACACGUUAGGGGCGGAUAUUGGCCUCCCGUGCGACGCUUAAUCCCGCGGUUGGCCCAAAUACGAGUCCUCGGCGUCGGACGCCGCGACGUUCGGUGGUGGAAAAAGUAAGAAACCUCGAGCUCGCGUCGCGCGUACGUCGUCGGUUUAAGGCUCCCGACCCUGAACGCAUCGCGACCCCAGGUCAGGCGGGAUUACCCGCUGAGUUUAA
RNAcentral lists this ribosomal RNA (361 nucleotides) under Dimocarpus longan. RNAcentral describes it as "eukaryotic LSU rRNA". The stretch from base 1 to 107 matches the Rfam family "5.8S ribosomal RNA", at positions 50 to 154 of the family's 154-position model. Lineage: Eukaryota; Viridiplantae; Streptophyta; Magnoliopsida; Sapindales; Sapindaceae. The record is from RNAcentral.